This 4192-nucleotide long non-coding RNA is filed under the name Mizuhopecten yessoensis (Yesso scallop). RNAcentral describes it as "uncharacterized LOC110446853, transcript variant X2". Lineage: Eukaryota; Metazoa; Mollusca; Bivalvia; Pectinida; Pectinidae. The record is from RNAcentral.
UUUGAUUCACAAGACAAUGUUUCUGUAUUAUUAUUGUAAUUACGGUAAAUAUAAUAUUUCACCUUUGAAAUGCUAAGGUAAUGGAGCUAUUAUAUUUUUUGUGUUUGUAAUACUUGUUAGUGAUAUCUUGUGAUUGAUGAAAAAAGUGAUUUUAGCUAUUCACCUGGUCCACAGGACUGAUGAACUUAUGAAAUGGCGCAGCAGUUGUCUUUCGUCUUGUCAUGCGUCAUUGUUUCCUUAGAAAACUACUUCUCCAGAGUAAAUGAUACAAUUUCGACCUAUUUGGGGAAUUUAAGCCUUGAUGGAAGUGUGCGGAGUUGUUUGUUUGACAUCUGGGGCCUGAGGAACAUGGCAUAAUGUAGGCCCGUAAUAGAGCAGAAUAAGAUUAGUAUAUCUUCUAAAGCCUACCAAUCCUGAACGAAAUACAAAUUAUGACAAUAUGUUUCAGGGUUUGUCGUGAGGACAAUUCUUUCAUCGGGAGCCUUUGAAAAAAAUCGUGAGGCCACUGCAUGUGGACUUGCGAUGUCAUGCAUGUGGAGCGAUGAGAAAAAUUGUUCCAACUACAAACCCCAAAACACUUCUGAUAAAUCAACUUUAUACAAAUACCUUUAAUAUGUUCGCAGUCAAAAACCAUAUUUUCCGACUGACUUCUAUAAGCCUCAGUGACAUGUGUAAACAAAUACAGGUUUUGUAUGGAGGGAUAUAAUGGACCUUAAAGUUAUGUACAAAAUAUUUUUAAAGCAAUAUUCUUGUCAUUGGCUUCUUCACAUCAACUUUUGCACAUUAACCGAGGCAAGGCGAUCAUGUCAAUAAAUGAAGAUUGUAUAUCCCCUCUGACAUUAUUGGUAGGGCCUUAAAUGUAAAUUAUAGGCAUUUUCAUUUCAAAUGUCAACUCCUUAUGAACAACUGUUAAAUAUUUCUAAGGCAAACUAAUACUGGUUUGUAUAGUGAAGGUGGUGAGGUCCCUAGGGUCAGAGAUGGGAUUCGUACGUAGAAUUAGGAGUGUAAAGAUGUACUACUUUAGAAUGACUGCGAUCUCCUCUAUUUGGCUUCUAACACAGAGCGUGGACAUGAAAAGAUGGAUGUAUCUACGAUAACGGGUUUGGGACCAGGGAGUGAGCCCCCCCCCCCAAUGGUAUUAACUCCCUGUAUCAUAACAUGGAAACAGUUAAAUAUUUACCCAUGCUUUGCUUUGGAGAUAUGACCCAAUUCCUGGAUACUUCCUACACCUUUGGAAGUUCUACCUGGAUCUAACAUUGCAACAGUUGAGAUCCCUACACUAUAACCAUGUACAAUGUACUUAAAUGUGGGGUAUGGAAUACAAACACAUUUAAGUUAGUGUUGUCUUGCGUGCCUUUGCGGAUUCCGUCCUGGUUAAAGCUUAUAAUUCUUUUACUUUUUUGAUAAACGUGUAUGAUAUUCAACGGGUUUUUAUAUUGUGUAGAAAAUUCCAGGUGACCUCUAAAUGUCCCUCGGCCCAUUGUUGCUAUUAUGGUAAGCAUCAUAUACCACCAGUGUCAUUGUGAGACAAUGUUUCUAUUCCAUCUAUGUAUCAGACAUUUUCUAAACAUGAAGUAAAAAUUCAAUUGUUGUUAUAUAAAUAUAUAUAAUUUUUACAUUAUACUGAUAUUUUGAUGUAUAUAGAUACUGAUGUUAUGAUGUUUUUCCUAUGUGUAUUUUCAUAUAGUAAUAUUGUUUAUUUUGAAACAUGGGAAAUUCUUAUGUUUAGCUUAUAUGGCAUAAAGUGCCCAUGUGCUUAUGCCAUGAGGCGGAGUCCAUCGUCGCCUGUGUCGAUUACCCGUCUGCCAUCUGUCCGUCGUUUGCUCUUUCGUCACUACUUUGAAAUAAUUCUUCUCAGCAAUAUAUAAUCAUAAAUAUCGGUUAGCAUUAUGCUGAUGAUGAGCAUGACUUACAUUAUAUGUCAAAGAGAUCAAAGUGUCGCAAAAACACUUCUCCUAAAAAACCUUAACACCUGCAGUCUUUAAUUUACCGUGUAACUUGCUGAAGUCAACAGCAAAUAUUUGAAAUAAAGUCUACCAUCCUAUAAAUCAGUAGAAGAGGAAUGGUAUAUCGCAUGAAUAGCUUGCUGAUGUAAAAGGACACUAUAAACUAUGUUCGCACACAUUUAUGGCGAAAAGAGUUGAAACUGUGUAAAAAUCAAACAAAUAAACCUUAUUAGACCAAGCCUUAUUAUUGUUGAAAUUCUGAAGUUAUUGUUGAAAUUCUGAAGUUAAUACAAAUCUUAAUUUGCCACCAUGAUCCCAAAUUUGUGUUUUCAAAUAAACAGGUCAACGAUGCAGGCCCAUGGACAUUUUUUAAUCAUUAUUGAUUUUUUUUUAUAUUAUAUUGUUGUUGUGAUAUUGAUGUUGUGAGAGAUCAAUUUGUUGAUGUGUUGUGACAAAUUCCGAGAUUGGAUUUAUUCUUACCAAUGGGAAAUUACACAAUUGCAUUGAUCUGACGUUGAAAAUGGGAAACAAUCCGGACAACGGCUCGGGUGCAAGAUAGACGUCUUGGUUACAUGGAAGACGGAGCAACAUUAGAACGAUACAUUCAUGGGGGCCGUAUGACGUCACGUUGAGUUUUAGAGAAACAAUCACCUUCAUGCUGCUAUGCAGACGAAACAUACAGAUUAAAUUGAAGUGAGUGAAACAUCAAAAUUAGAACCAGCUGCUUAAAGUGAUGUCAUCACCAAGUAGAACCGCGGCUUGAAGUGACGUCAUCACCAAGAAGAGCCACUGUGUGAAAUUAAAUCACCAUCAUCAAUGAAGCUCCAUGGUUCAGUUGUGUUAAGAUUGAUUCAUGUUUCAUUUUUUUUAUAUAUAUUUUUUUAAUAUAUCUUUUUUCUUAAUUUGUACAGACAUCGUUGAUUUUCUAUGUAUGUUAUAAUAAGAGUGAUACUUUUGGGUCCAAUGUCAUGAACAGUGUUUUUUUCGAUUUUAAUUAUAAUGAAAAUAUAAAAUUCCGCUUUCAUAACAUAGAUCCUCAUCUCCCGGUCAAUCAAUAUAAUGUAAUACACGAACAUAUAUGCUCAGCAAAAAAAGAAAGGUUAACACACCACUCCCUUGGGGACAACCUCCAUAUCGGUUAAAGUAGAACAUUCGGGAAUGGAAUACCUAGACCAAGUGGUAUCCUAUUCAUUGAAAUCAUUCAGCUGUAAAUGUCUGUGUGAUCAAAGAGUUCCUCGUGUGUUUUUGUAAAUAAUUCGUGAAUAACGCAAGUGCCCAGUAUAAAACGUAAAUGGAAUUCCUCUGCUACGAUGACCUACUACGAUUGAAAACUUUAAAAACAAUGAACACAAACACGUAUUUUUACAUUCCUUGGCUGUCACGAGGUCAGAGGGAAAGUGCUGGUCGUCAAGUUGCACAACAAUUUGGUUGCAGUUUAAAGAGCGUAAACCUUUUGUCAAAUCGUUUUAACCGAACUUGGUCGAGGUGUGAAUGUUCACGAAGCGGAAGACACCGUGUAACGUCUGCUUCUCGGGAAAACCUCCUGAAAUGGCUAAUCCAUCUGCAAAAUCACAGAUACUACUUAGUCGUCCUGGAUCUGCCGAAACCUUCCAAAACCACUUGAAAGUGUAUAACACGAUAAUUCCCCACUGCAUACGAGUCGCGUCAAGGUAACUGUUUUAAAACAAAACAAUGUUAUGGUUUUGGGUUUUUCAUCUAAAUCACUCGACAUAUCGUCCAUAGUCCACAUUUGGAAAGUCUUUGGCAAUACGUUCAGAAACGUCAAAAUCAGCGGUUUAACUUGCAGGAGAUAAAGCUUUGACCGAUGAAUAAAACACUAUCCCUCCUAACCUUAUCCGUCAGUUUUUAAGUUCAAUUCUUAAUUAUUAUAUUUUUUUUCGGCGAAAACAGUGAUCAUACGUGGUAUUAUACAGGCGACUUAUGAACCUCGACUAACCUUCCCUAAACAUGGAAUAAAAUCAACUCAGCACGGCAAUGUUUUUAAUAAGAAAUUAAUUAACCAACACUUCACCGAACAACAUAUUAUUAAAUUGAAAAAUAAAAAAAACUUUUGGUGAAUUAUUGUAUAUUAUAUAACUACUUGACCAAAUGUAAGACGAGUCGUUGACUCAACUUUGUCAACAAGUAUAUAAAUAAAGACUAUUAUACACUUGCAUUAAAUAGCUUAAUGGAGUGCCCACCCUUCUUUUUUCCUGAGUAUACGUACCGUGGGAUGAAAAUCUGUG